CCUACGGGGGGCAGCAGUGAGGAAUAUUGGUCAAUGGGCGCUAGCCUGAACCAGCCAAGUAGCGUGAAGGAUGACUGCCCUAUGGGUUGUAAACUUCUUUUAUAUGGGAAUAAAGUGCAGUAUGUAUACUGCUUUGCAUGUACCUUAUGAAUAAGGAUCGGCUAACUCCGUGCCAGCAGCCGCGGUAAUACGGAGGAUCCGAGCGUUAUCCGGAUUUAUUGGGUUUAAAGGGAGCGUAGGCGGGUUGUUAAGUCAGUUGUGAAGGUUCGCGGCUCAACCGUAAAAUUGCAGUUGAUACUGGCAUCCUUGAGUACAGUAGAGGUAGGCGGAAUUCGUGGUGUAGCGGUGAAAUGCUUAGAGAUCACGAAGAACUCCGAUUGCGAAGGCAGCCUGCUGGACUGUAACUGACGCUGAUGCUCGAAAGUGUGGGUAGCAAACAGGAUUAGAUACCCGGGUAGUC
RNAcentral lists this ribosomal RNA (460 nucleotides) under uncultured bacterium. RNAcentral describes it as "partial 16S ribosomal RNA". It matches the Rfam family "Bacterial small subunit ribosomal RNA", at positions 338 to 795 of the family's 1533-position model. The record is from RNAcentral.